GUCUUUUUGAAAUAAUUUAAAGUCUAAUCUGCCCACUGAUAAAAAUUAAAGGGCUGCAGUAUAAUGACUGUACAAAGGUAGCAUAAUCAAUAGUUUUUUAAUUGGAAACUUGUAUGAAAGAUUUGAUGAAAUAUAAACUGUCUCUAUUUUAUAAAUUGAAUUUUAUUUUUUGGUAAAAAAGCUAAAAUAAAUUUAAAAGACGAGAAGACCCUAUAGAGUUUUAUAUUUAAUUUUAUUUGAAAAUUAUAUAAAAAUUAUUAUUUAAAUAAAAUUAAUUAUUAUGUUGGGGUGACAGAAAAAUUAAAUUAACUUUUUUUAAAAAUUAAACAUAAAUAAGUGAUUAUAUGAUCCAUAAAUAAUGAUUAUAAGAAAAAAUUACCUUAGGGAUAACAGCGUAAUAUUUUUUUUUAGUUCAAAUAAAAAAGAAAGUUUGCGACCUCGAUGUUGGAUUAAGAUAAAAUUUAAAUGCAAAAGUUUAAAAUUUUUGAUCUGUUCGAUCAUUAAAAUCUUACA
This 513-nucleotide ribosomal RNA is filed under the name Melanargia asiatica. RNAcentral's name for it is "partial 16S ribosomal RNA". The stretch from base 386 to 513 matches the Rfam family "Bacterial large subunit ribosomal RNA", at positions 2473 to 2600 of the family's 2925-position model. Lineage: Eukaryota; Metazoa; Arthropoda; Insecta; Lepidoptera; Nymphalidae. The record is from RNAcentral.